This is a non-coding RNA of Cajanus cajan (pigeon pea), 604 nucleotides long. Lineage: Eukaryota; Viridiplantae; Streptophyta; Magnoliopsida; Fabales; Fabaceae. The record is from RefSeq and is a predicted model, not a curated record.
AAAAAGAUAGCGAAGUUUAGAUUUUUCCUAAACUGCUAGCUACACACUUUUUCCCCUUUAAAGUUUUCAUUUCCUUCACAUUAUCAGGUCAUGUCUGAUUUUAGGGUUUUGCGGCCAUGGGUCAUGCUUUGCAUGAACGGGUUUCCCGCUGAGGAUAGAAAUUUGGUUUCCCAAAAAUUUGAACCAAACACUAAUUGACAAAGUUGUGAAGGGAGAUGAGAUGGAAUGCAUGAAAGUGAAGGUAGCAUUUUGGAAUUUUGAUAAAAGACUAUGAGAACUUAUCACUUGGGUGAGACUAUCUUAUGGAGAGCUUGAAAAGAUCCAACACCAAAGAGAUGAGGGAAACAUUAGAAAACACUUUUACAUUUAUGAGUUUGUUUAUUAUAUUUUGAAUUUCAUUUUUAUUUUAAUUUCUUUUUGUAAAGGCCUUUCUCUUGGUAAUGGUUUUGAGAGGUUCUAAGUGCCUACUCAAACUUCUAUUUUUCUGUUAAUUUCAUUUAUUAAUUUUUGUUAGAUAUUGUGAAGGUGUGAUGGGAGACUAUUGAGUGUCCAACAAAAUUAUCACGUAGGAACGCGUCUAGUUUUUUUAUUUUACUUUCUUUAA